ACACUUUCUGCAUCGCUUCUUAUCAGCGUGGUAGUGGCCAGGAGGGCAGCUGGAGACACAGAUUCUGCGUUGUGGGAUGAUAAAGAAGAGGAGUGUCACCAGAGAUUCAGUCCUGAGAACUGAAAUUCCAGCAUGGAUGUGACAGGAAUGGGACCCUCCUGGGUGACUGGAGUGUGGAUACCAGGUUGGCUUCCUAGAUUCCACAGCUAUUGCAACUUGCAACAUUUUAGCUGACUACUGCAGUCCAUGAGGAGAGAGUGCUUCUGCUGCCUAAGAGUUGAAGUUCAGCCAGCUGUGGGUCCCACAGUGCCUGGAAUUCGAUGAAACAGUACAGGGACCUGGUUAUGAGAAUGCCAUCUGACCCUCUCAAAGUCUGACUUCUUAAUGAAAGUGAAAAUGACAGCUCCAAAGAAAAGGAGUUAUU
This is a long non-coding RNA of Bubalus bubalis (water buffalo), 424 nucleotides long. RefSeq lists it as uncharacterized. Lineage: Eukaryota; Metazoa; Chordata; Mammalia; Artiodactyla; Bovidae. The transcript is spliced from 3 exons. The record is from RefSeq and is a predicted model, not a curated record.